Non-coding RNA from Nerophis lumbriciformis (worm pipefish), 735 nucleotides. Lineage: Eukaryota; Metazoa; Chordata; Actinopteri; Syngnathiformes; Syngnathidae. The record is from RefSeq and is a predicted model, not a curated record.
GAUAACACAAGACGAAGGUUACAGAGAGGAUGAUUCUUCCAUAUUAUAUAACUUUUUAAAAAACAUGUACACCUCAUCUUAAUGGUUACCUCUUACUAUAUUGCUUGUCAUUUUUCUUGAAUGCAUAUAGGCUCAGGAGAGUGAAGAAUGUAGAGAGGAUGAAAGGAGCAUUGAAGCUCAUAUCAAUGAAAUGUCUACAGAGAUGCUUAAGGUACACCCAGAUCUGAACUCUUUAAAGGAGAGAAUGAGACGAACCUAUGCAUACCGAAAGACUUUCAUGGCAACUGCCAAGGCAGAGGAAAUCAUCGAAAAGUUUCCCGCACUGAAGCUUCCUAAAAUAGUUGGUAUCUUCAAGCAUUGAAUUGACCAUAUUUAAUUGUAUGUGUAUUAUUUCAUUUAUGAUCAUCAAGUAUUUUGAGAUGACACUUUUUAUCCCUCCUUACAGCUUCUGUGGGAGAUGAAGGAGCAAUUCCUUGUAGAAGCUGAUUGCUAAUGGUCACAGAGUUGGAUCGAAUGGCAACGAAGAUGGUUCAAAGAGCAUCUAUGUGUGACCUAAAGGACUGCUGCCAAAUCAAUGCCUGCCUGGAUGAUUCAGACUCAUUAGGGAUGCAGCAAUUCUACUGCUGCCUUCCAUUUUCAGAGAGGACUCAUCCUUUCUAUACACUCUACUGGAGGAGCCAAGCGUGCCUACUCCAGCAAUCAUGCUCCAUAACACACACGAGGGGAACCCUUUGC